Cyanistes caeruleus (blue tit) is the source of this 1924-nucleotide long non-coding RNA. The record is from Ensembl. Lineage: Eukaryota; Metazoa; Chordata; Aves; Passeriformes; Paridae.
CUGUGGAUUCCUCAUCCCUGGAAAUUCCUGAUUCCAUCCCGGAUCCCGCAGGAAUUCCCUGGAUUCCCUUUCCCAGCUGGAAAAUCCCGCAGAAAAUCUGGGAUAAAGCAGGAAAAACAGGGAAAAAAUUCCCAUUUUCCAACCUUUCUGAUCACUGGGAUUCCUUCCCUAAAUGGGGUUGGAAUUCCCAGCUGGAAAAAUCCGACGGAAUCUCGAUUUAAAGCAGGAAAAACAGGGAAAAAAUUCCCAUUUUCCAAAGUUUCUCACCCUGGGAUUCCUUCCCUAAAUGGGGUUGGAAUUCCCAGCUGGAAAAUCCCGCAGAAAAUCUGGGAUAAAGCAGGAAAAACAGGAAAAAAUUCCCAUUUUCCAACCUUUCUGAGCCUGGAAUUCCUUCCCUAAAUAAAUUGGGAAUUCCCAGCUGGAAAAAAUCUGGGAUAAAACAGGAAAAAGGGGAAAAAAUUCCCAUUUUCCAAAGUUUCUCACCCUGGGAUUCCUUCCCUAAAUGGGGUUGAAAUUCCCAGCUGGAAAAUCCCGGAGAAAAUCUGGGAUAAAGCAGGAAAAUCAGGAAAAAAUUCCCAUUUUCCAAAGUUUCUGAGCCUGGAAUUCCUUCCCUAAAUGGGGUUGGAAUUCCCAGCUGGAAAAUCCUGGAGAAAAUCUGGGAUAAAGCAGGAAAAAUGGGGAGAAAAUUCCCAUUUUCCGACCUUUCUGACCACUGGAAUUCCCUCCAGGCCGUGAUUUUCCAGGGAAAACUGAAAUUCCGGGAGCAGCCUGGAGGACCCCAAGGUUUUUCCCAUGAAAUUCCCGAUUUUUUACGGAGCAAAACCUCGAUUUCUCCCCAAAUCCCAACAAAUCCUGAACCCUUUGGAAUUCCCGAAUCCAGAAAAAUUUGGGAUUUCAUGGAAUUUUUAUUUUUUCCCCCUCCUCCCCCAGCGCGUUCCCACGGAGGAAUUUUGGGAGUUUGGGAUCCCUCUGGAAUUUUCUCCUCGGAUUUGCAACAUUUGAUUCCCUCCCCUGCCGGGGGCUGCGGCUCCGCUGCUUUCCCUGGAAAAAAAACGGGAAAAAAACCACGGAUAGAAGGGUUGAGCAGCCUCUCCUCUUCCCUGGAUUCCCCCUCGGAGCGGCGGCACCAGCGGCGAGCCUCGGAUUCCCCGGAAUCCACAGGUGGGAACUGCGGCCACCGCCACUCGGGGGUCACUCGGGGGUCAAAGGUCACUCGGGGGUCACUCGGGGGUCACUGAAGGGUCAGGGGUCACCGAGGGGUCACUGAGGGGUCAUUGAGGGGUUAGGGGUCACUCAGGGGUCACUCGGGGGUCAAAGGUCACUCAGGGGUCACUCGGGGUCGCUCAGGGGUCAUUGAGGGGUCAGGGGUCACUCAGGGGUCAUUCAGGGGUCACUCAGGGGUCACUCAGGGGUGGGCAAUGACCCCGAGGCCUGGCAGUCCCUGAGCCCGGCCUGCGGAGCCUCAUUCCUUCCUCUUCCUCCUGUCCGUGUGUCCGUGUGUCUGUCCAUGUCCGUGUGUCCGUGUGUGUGUCCAUGUCCGUGUCCGUGUGUCUGUGUGUGUCUGUGUGUGUCCGUGUGUGUCCGUGUGUCCGUGUGUGUCCGUGUGUCCGUGUGUGUAUGUCCGUGUGUCCGUGUGUCCGUGUGUCCGUCUGUCCGUCUGUCUGUCUGUCCGUGUGUGUCUGUGUGUCCGUGUGUCUGUCUGUCCGUGUCCGUCCGUGUGUCNAGGGAGGGACAGACGGGGCUCAUUUGCGACACAAAGCCCGGCCCGGGCCCCGCAGCCGCCACCUGCUGCCCCCGCCCCGCGGCCCCGGCAUUCCCGGUAUUCCCGGUAUUCCCGGUAUUCCCAGCUUUCCCAGCUUUCCCAGCUUUCCCAGCUUUCCCAGCUUCCCAAACUCCUGAUCCUCCCGAGUUUCCCCGGCGGAUC